RNAcentral lists this transfer RNA (86 nucleotides) under Candidatus Moranbacteria bacterium CG_4_9_14_3_um_filter_36_9. Its description in RNAcentral is "tRNA-Leu". It matches the Rfam family "tRNA". From Rfam's summary of the family: Transfer RNA (tRNA) molecules are approximately 80 nucleotides in length. Their secondary structure includes four short double-helical elements and three loops (D, anti-codon, and T loops). The record is from RNAcentral. RNAcentral also lists the same sequence under 1 other name. Lineage: Bacteria; Candidatus Moraniibacteriota.
GGGCGAAUGGCGGAAUUGGUAUACGCGCUAGUCUUAGGAACUAGUGGGUUUAUCCCGUGAGAGUUCGAGUCUCUCUUCGCCCACCA